Manis pentadactyla (Chinese pangolin) is the source of this 3945-nucleotide long non-coding RNA. RefSeq lists it as uncharacterized. NCBI's taxonomy places the organism in Eukaryota, Metazoa, Chordata, Mammalia, Pholidota, Manidae. The record is from RefSeq and is a predicted model, not a curated record. The transcript is spliced from 2 exons.
UCUAGGAAUUAUAAAAAUAACAUCUCCUUUCCUGGAACACUUUAGAAUCUGUCAAAGUGAUGACCUUUUAAACCAAAUGACAUAUAAACAAAAUCAGAGAAAGCUUAGUGAUACAUAAACUUCACAUGCAUAUAAUUAAUAUGCUGGAUGUUUGUGACUAUUAAUUUGAGGAGACUUGAGUGUUGUCAUUCAAGUUGAUUGCUGCUUACUGUAUUGGUUAUCUCCAUCUUCCAUAGUUUUCUAUUCUUUUUAUUUCUAUUCUUAUUUUUAUUGUUUCCUUCCUUCUACUUCCUUAGGUAAAUUUACUAUUUUUUGAGCUUCUUAAGAUACAAACUCAAAAGCUUAGACACUGAUUUCAAACUUCUCUCCUAAAGUUUGCAAGUGUUUGCUUCAUCUGUUUUAAAUCUUUCACAUUUUGUGCCUGCACUUUGAGGCUUAUUAUGUUUUUUGAUUAGUUUAUUGUUUUAUCAUUGAGAAAUAUCACCUUUAUCUUUGGUAAUAUUUCUUAUAUUAGAGUCAACUUUGUUUGAUAUUAAUAUAGGAACUUUGGCUUUCUUAUUCCUAGAGUUUACAUGGUAUAUACUUUCUUAUCCCUUUACUUUUAAAUUAUCUGUGUAUAAUUAAAGUGUGUUUCUUAAAGAAAGUAUAUAGUUGGGAAUUGCCUUGUUUUAUCCUUUCUGGGGGUCACUGCCUUACAAUUGUCAUUUUUUGGUGCAUUUACAUUUAAUGUAAUUAUUAAUAUAGGUGGCAUUAAGUCUAUGUACCUUUACAGUCAGUUUUCCAUUUAUCUCAUAGGUUCUUUAUUUUGUUUUCUUUUUGUUUCCUUCAACCAUUUGGAUUGAAAAUUUGGGGUAUUAAAUUAUAUCUUUCUUCAGCUUUCAUUUAAUUAUCGCUGAUGAGGUGUUCUAUUGGCAAAUAUGUAUCUUUAACUUAUCACAGUCUCUAAUCUCAUUAUUUUUGCUAUUACGGUCAUGAAUUUUACUCCUCCCUAUAUUACAAACCCCAUACACAUUGCUCUGAUUUUGCUUUAAAGGAAAAUACAUUUAAAUUUUUUAAGGUAAUUUUUAAAAAUGAAAAUACAAUAAAUUCUUUUAUAUUUACCAACAUGUUUACCACUUGUAUGUUUAGUUUUACUUCUUUGUCAUAACCUGAGUUCUCUAUGGAAUUUCCUGAGUUCUUAACAUGAUCGCUUCAUUCUGAUUGACCAGACUCACGGGUCUCUUAGCCUUGUUCCAGCCCUGGUAAUUAUUUAGUUUCAAGAUCUCUCAUGGUGGUUCUUCCCUAUUUUUCAUUCUUUUCAAGGCCCUGUGGAAUCUUACUCUUCACUUGCACAGUUCAGUACUCAAAGACUCAAGGAGAUCCCUAUGUAGAUUUCUGGAGUUCAUUUUCUGUAUAGUUUAAACAAAAACUGAAAACCAAACUCCAAUCUGCUGAAAAGAAAAUUACCUUAGAUUUAUUUAAAUCUAAUUGAUACCCACAUAAUAUAUACCUUACUUUCUUUGUCCUUUUUUCUAAAUUUUUUUAUAACACCACAAAUAGAUGCAGGGGUAUGAAUUAGGUUAUGGCAGUAAUACAGGUGAUAAACUGUAGCGGCUUAUAGUAUGGUGACAGUGGAGGAGAUGAAAAGUGGUUGGCUUUGGAGUAUUAUUUUAAAGGUAGUUCAGAAUUAGAUUAGGUGUGGAUUAUAAUAGGAGAGAAGUUACAGAUAACUCCAAGCUGGUAGAAUUGUGUUGUCAUCUACUGAAGGGCAGCAUUAUGGAAGGAGCAAAUUUGAAACAUAGAAACCAUGAGUUUGACUCUGGAAAACUUAAGUUAAACACCUAAAUAUAAAUAUAACAAAUCAGGUAUGUAAAUGUAAACUUCAGGAAAAAGAUCAGCGUUGGAAAUACAAAUUGAGAUCUGUCAAUGUACACAUAGUAUUUAAGGACAUGAAAUAGGAUGAGGUCACCUGAUAAAGCUUAUAUAAAUAGACCAAAAAGUGGUCUAAGGGCUGACCACAUAAAUAUUUAGGGAGUAGAGAGAUAAGAAGAACUAGCAAAGGAGACUAAGAAGGAGUAUCCAGUUAUAUAAGAAGAAAAAUGAAAGAAUGAUGUCCUGCAAGACAUCUGAGGAAAGUGUUUGAAAGAGAAAAAUGGAUCACAUGGGCUGAAUACCAUUGCUUGACUGCUGUGAGGUGAAAUGGCCACUGGAUUUGGUAAUUUAGACUUACAGAUGGCAAUGAAAAGAUCUGUUUCAGUGGAGUUAGUUGAGGAAAGUCCACCUGAAACAGAUUCAGGAGGAAAUGUAACCACAAGAUGCAGAGGCAGGUAAUGAGGAGUUCUGCUAUAAAGAGGAGCAUGGAACUAGAGUGGGAGCUGGAAAACAGAGAUAUAGCAGAAACAGUGUCCUGGAAAAAUAAGGGGCAAGGAAUGGGAUCCAAAGAAAAGGCGGGGGGAAUGAUUUAAGCAGCAUUUUAAUAAUUUAAUAGGGAAGAAGGAGGUGAAAUACAAAUACGUUAAGUGGGUAAAGGUGAUGGUAAAGGUGUUUUUUCUUAUACUCAACACUACUUUUGCAAUGUUAGAGGGGAAAAGGAAAUAAUUUUAGUUUUCAGGAGUACCACAUGAAGAAGGGAGAUUCUAACUAAACACAUGACCCUCAAAGAUCCAAAGAAUGAAAUAUCACCACCUGCUAGAUUUUGCAAUCACAUCCUUACAGCUUAAAAGACACUGUUGGCUUCUGGUAGGAAUCCUUAAAUUCUUUUACAUUCUGAAGUGACUUUAACUUUAAAAUAUUUAAAAACUGAAAUGGAAAUAUCUUUUUAGAUAUUCUUGUGAGUGACCUUUAAUAUAUCAUGGAAAAUGCAAUUAAUGCAAUGUUGGGUCCUUUAAAAAUAAUUACUAAUCAUAAUAGAGUCAUCAUGUAGUGGAACACUUUGCCUGAUUUCAAGAAAUUUAUAAAGUUUGGUAACAGUGGGAAGACUUCUUCUCCCCACAUACAUUGACAGAGAAUAAAAAAGGAGGCUAAGAAAUUCCCCAACCACUUCCCAGUAUAAUUUCUGAAGGUGAAUUCAAGAAUUAAGGAAAAGGAAAGAGAACACAGAUACCCUGUCAGUAAUGAAACUGAGAUAAAUGAAGUCCAAGGAGAACUGGAUGAAACAAGUCUGUCUCCUGUUUCCUCUCUGCUAGGGUGAAUGGGUUAACAUGAAGAUGCAGGUCAAGACAGAAGAUGAUAAACAAUCAUAAUUAGAUAUGCAUUUGAUAUGUUUUCUUUACUUUGAUUCUGUUUAAAUGGAAUAAAUAAUGAUUCAUAAUAUAUUCACAGAGUGGAUUUUUGCUGCUAGCUUUUAAUUCCUGGAGGAACCGACUAGUGAUGAUAGCACAGCCCACAAAGCUGCCAGUUCUCUAUCUGCUGCUUUCUUCAGGAUUUUGCUCUUAGUUAAUUAAUUCAAAAUAAAAGUGCACAUCCCAAGGAUUUGUUUUCAUCAUAGAUAUCCAUAAGACAUUCAUUUCAGAAUUUGUAUUUGGGAAAGAAUUGCCUUGUGUGUGUGGUGAAUUACAUAAAGGUAAGUGAAAUUAAACACAGAGCGUGCAUUCUUAUGACAGCAUAUGUUCAGGGACUGGGAACCAACAAGCUCCCAGAAGUGAACAAAGCCUCCAGGAUAACACGGAAUGGACAGGUCCCACACAAUAGCAAAUGGAGCAGGGACUUAGCAUUUUGCCUAAGAACCAGUUGUAAAGAAUAAUUAUUUUACAAAGAGUCACUUCCCAUAUAUCAGACAUACUUAAAACAAAGCUAAAAAAUAGCUUUCCCAUGUCUAACCUCAAUACCAGGAAAAUCAUGAUCUACAUAUGCAAAGAGAGUAAGAUUUGAACUAUCCAGAUAGCUCAAGCUAGUAAUACAUUUGUAGAAACAGUUUUAGCUGGAUGAUUGCUCCAGUUCUUUAACAUGACUGGAAACCAGAUUUUU